GAUGAACGCUGGCGGCGUGCCUAAUACAUGCAAGUCGAGCGAACAGACGAGGAGCUUGCUCCUUCGACGUUAGCGGCGGACGGGUGAGUAACACGUAGGUAACCUACCUAUAAGACUGGGAUAACUUCGGGAAACCGGAGCUAAUACCGGAUAAUAUUUCGAACCGCAUGGUUCGAUAGUGAAAGAUGGCUUUGCUAUCACUUAUAGAUGGAUCUGCGCCGUAUUAGCUAGUUGGUAAGGUAACGGCUUACCAAGGCAACGAUACGUAGCCGAACUGAGAGGGUGAUCGGCCACACUGGAACUGAGACACGGUCCAGACUCCUACGGGAGGCAGCAGUAGGGAAUCUUCCGCAAUGGGCGAAAGCCUGACGGAGCAACGCCGCGUGAGUGAUGAAGGUCUUCGGAUCGUAAAACUCUGUUAUUAGGGAAGAACAGACGUGUAAGGAACUGUGCACGGCUUGACGGUACCUAAUCAGAAAGCCACGGCUAACUACGUG
Molecule: ribosomal RNA, 497 nt
Filed under: uncultured bacterium
Lineage: Bacteria
Description: partial 16S ribosomal RNA
Rfam family: Bacterial small subunit ribosomal RNA
Source: RNAcentral